Molecule: ribosomal RNA, 253 nt
Filed under: uncultured bacterium
Lineage: Bacteria
Description: partial 16S ribosomal RNA
Rfam family: Bacterial small subunit ribosomal RNA
Source: RNAcentral
UGCGGAGGGGGCUAGCGUUGUUCGGAAUUACUGGGCGUAAAGCGCACGUAGGCGGCUUUGUAAGUUAGAGGUGAAAGCCCGGGGCUCAACUCCGGAAUUGCCUUUAAGACUGCAUCGCUAGAAUCAUGGAGAGGUGAGUGGAAUUCCGAGUGUAGAGGUGAAAUUCGUAGAUAUUCGGAAGAACACCAGUGGCGAAGGCGACUCACUGGCUCGGUACUGACGCUGAGGUGCGAAAGCGUGGGGAGCAAACAGG